RNAcentral lists this ribosomal RNA (468 nucleotides) under uncultured bacterium. Its description in RNAcentral is "partial 16S ribosomal RNA". It matches the Rfam family "Bacterial small subunit ribosomal RNA", at positions 28 to 507 of the family's 1533-position model. The record is from RNAcentral.
GACGAACGCUGGCGGCGUGCUUAACACAUGCAAGUUGAACGGAAAGGCCCUGCUUUUGUGGGGUGCUCGAGUGGCGAACGGGUGAGUAACACGUGAGUAACCUGCCCUUGACUUUGGGAUAACUUCAGGAAACUGGGGCUAAUACCGGAUAGGAGCUCCUGCUGCAUGGUGGGGGUUGGAAAGUUUCGGCGGUUGGGGAUGGACUCGCGGCUUAUCAGCUUGUUGGUGGGGUAGUGGCUUACCAAGGCUUUGACGGGUAGCCGGCCUGAGAGGGUGACCGGCCACAUUGGGACUGAGAUACGGCCCAGACUCCUACGGGAGGCAGCAGUGGGGAAUAUUGCACAAUGGGCGGAAGCCUGAUGCAGCAACGCCGCGUGCGGGAUGACGGCCUUCGGGUUGUAAACCGCUUUCGCCUGUGACGAAGCGUGAGUGACGGUAAUGGGUAAAGAAGCGCCGGCUAACUACGUG